UUUUGCGGGCUGCUGGAAUAGAGGGCGUAGAGGUGGAGGUCGCGCGGCGAUGGGGGAAGGUGCGACGGCGGGCGGUGCGCGGCGGGGGCGGCCGGUGGCGGGGAGGCCGCGCGCGGCGGGGAGGCGGCACGCGGCGGUGGUGGGGACGCCGAAAGGUGGUGGCCCCUGUGAGCUGCGGCUGCGGCGUGGAAGGGGGUUGAGCAGAGAGAGGAGGAGGAAACGGGUGGCGAGAAGCAGUGGGCCGGUUGAGGCAGCUUUGCCCGUCCGCCGCGACCUCAAGCGGCCUUGCCCGGCCGCCCGCCAUUCUCCGCGCCGCCGCCGCGCUCCUUUUGACUGUCUAAGUCCGCGCCGUAGCUCCCUAGCUCGGCGACCACGCCGUCGAACGAUGCUACCGCCGCCGACCACGGGACGAGUAGGUCUCUUUCUCUCUGUGUCCCGCACUCCCUCUCUCCUCUCUCUCCUUCUUUCCUCUUCCUCUUCCCCGCGUCCCACUCCCUCCGCCCGUCCCGCCGCACGAGGACAACUCCGCCGUCCCGAGCGACGCCCGACCAAGGAGCCCUAGCUCGGAACCGAAAGAGCUCCGCACGCCAACGGCCGUUCCCAUCGUGUAGAGCGACCUCGUGUGCAACAAGGACCGGUCUCCGGAGUCUAGCUGGACGACCCGAGCCACGACGACUCGUUGCUCCCACCGCCCCCCAGUUUCCCUAGUAACUCCUGCGGUCGUUGUCGGAGAAGUUUGAUGCGCAUUAAGGACAUGGUAACCGAAAUAGUCAAUAAACAUCUCUAAGUGGGAGAAACACAGCUCCUUUCUCGGCCUUCCUCUCAUGUACCUGCUCCCCUUCUUACCGAUCCGUCUAACGGGUGUUGAGACGUGUCCACGUCGGUUUGUUUCGGAUCGACCUGUAGUAAACAGUUCCAAACGUGUGUUGAUGUGUAACUUUUAAGAUCGACCCAACUAGGUCUAGAACCACAAUGACGGAUAGUAGGUAUCGUAGAGGAGAAAAAUGGUGGUCGGUGGUGAUGGUGUUACCAUGUCUAGAGUGGACGUUGAGGUACAGUGAUGAUAGUAUGAACAACAAACAAACCAGGUAGAAGUCAAGGAGUGUGUUUAGUCCAACAGGGUGGCCGGAUGUCUUGAACCUAUAAACGAUGCUGUCAGACGGUACACCACGUAAUGAACCAACUACGGGUAGCUCUCAAGUUCUGAUUAGGUGUGAUUCGUAAGAACUAAGGAAUAAUCAACGUAAUAAAAGUCUAGGUAAUGGAAGAACGUAUAGCAGUAGAUACGUCGUGUACGGUUGUUCGAGACAGCUGCACCACGCAUAUAUCAUUAGAUUGUUCCGUCGUGGGUAAUAUUUACUAAAAGAUACGUAGAGCUAAAGUAGGGUAUAGUUUCUAAAAAAUAGAGCUAAAAGAAUACAUAUCGUGUACGUAUAGUCUCUUCAGUGUAGGCGAAUUAAUAGUACAUAGUGUUUCAAUCCGUCAUCAUCUUAUUCUAGUAUGUUGACGGACAAUAAAAUCUAUAAUACUACAUAUCAUUCCACGGCCAAACGUCCUUUAUUUCGUGUUAACACUGUGCUUUUCAAACUUGUAUUGGUUGCACCAAAAUAGAACGUAAGUACUCUGAGCGGAAAUUUCACAAUAGAAAAGUGUGUCUCUCUGUAUGCUCCGGUACUCCCGUAGGAUAUCUGUUUUUCCUGUAAGCUCCUUAAUUUUUUAACUUAGCAGAGGUGUCUUGUUUGACGUUCGAAACUUUAGUAACUUCACAACCGUUAAGGCAUUAGAGAAUUGUAUCCGACGGCGGUAGUACGAAGAGUCCGGGCCUCCGAGACAAGUAUUAGUGGAGAGCGGUAUAGGCCCCUCCUAAUACCAGAUCCGUCUCGCCACGUACUACGACAUCACACCGAUAACAGUUACUGUGACAGCACUACAACAGGUGUAACAGGGCCACCAAGCUUUCGCUGCGUUACUGUAGUACAAAGAAGAGGAGUCGCUCAAAUAAUAAAAAGUAUCUGGAGUACCUCGUCUCAUGGCUCCCGACUCCUCUGUUCACGACCUCUCCCACCGUACGUAGUCCUACUCUCCCUUCUUUCACGACCUCCUACAUUUGUAGACCUCCUUGUACAUAUCUCACCAAGAAACACCUUUUUUUUACAUAUCUCACCAACCACAUAUGAAGGAAAAACACUAUUAUUAUUUACUUCACGUAAGACCACGAUACCAACACUGACUUCUACAAUCGCCGUCUUCAUUAACGAUG
This 2260-nucleotide ribosomal RNA is filed under the name Triticum aestivum (bread wheat). RNAcentral describes it as "partial small subunit ribosomal RNA". The record is from RNAcentral. Lineage: Eukaryota; Viridiplantae; Streptophyta; Magnoliopsida; Poales; Poaceae.